AUUGAACGCUGGCAGCAUGCUUUACACAUGCAAGUCGAACGGUAACAGGUUAAGCUGACGAGUGGCGAACGGGUGAGUAAUGCAUCGGAACGUGCCCGGUCGUGGGGGAUAACGCAGCGAAAGCUGCGCUAAUACCGCAUACGAUCUGAGGAUGAAAGCGGGGGACCGUAAGGCCUCGCGCGAUCGGAGCGGCCGAUGUCAGAUUAGGUAGUUGGUGGGGUAAAGGCUCACCAAGCCAACGAUCUGUAGCUGGUCUGAGAGGACGACCAGCCACACUGGGACUGAGACACGGCCCAGACUCCUACGGAAGGCAGCAGUGGGGAAUUUUGGACAAUGGGCGAAAGCCUGAUCCAGCAAUGCCGCGUGCAGGAAGAAGGCCUUCGGGUUGUAAACUGCUUUUGUACGGAGCGAAAAGGUCUCCUCUAAUACAGGGGGCUCAUGACGGUACCGUAAGAAUAAGCACCGGCUAACUGCGUGCCAGCCGCCGCCGUAA
This 493-nucleotide ribosomal RNA is filed under the name uncultured bacterium. Its description in RNAcentral is "partial 16S ribosomal RNA". It matches the Rfam family "Bacterial small subunit ribosomal RNA", at positions 30 to 523 of the family's 1533-position model. The record is from RNAcentral.